CAGCAGUGGGGAAUAUUGCACAAUGGGCGCAAGCCUGAUGCAGCCAUGCCGCGUGUAUGAAGAAGGCCUUCGGGUUGUAAAGUACUUUCAGCAGUGAGGAAGGUGGAUAUGUUAAUAGCAUAUUCAUUUGACGUUAGCUGCAGAAGAAGCACCGGCUAACUCCGUGCCAGCAGCCGCGGUAAUACGGAGGGUGCGAGCGUUAAUCGGAAUUACUGGGCGUAAAGCGCAUGCAGGUGGUUUGUUAAGUCAGAUGUGAAAGCCCGGGGCUCAACCUCGGAAUUGCAUUUGAAACUGGCAAACUAGAGUACUGUAGAGGGGGUAGAAUUUCAGGUGUAGCGGUGAAAUGCGUAGAGAUCUGAAGGAAUACCGGUGGCGAAGGCGGCCCCCUGGACAGAUACUGACACUCAGAUGCGAAAGCGUGGGGAGCAAACAGGAUUUGAUACCCUGGUAG
RNAcentral lists this ribosomal RNA (451 nucleotides) under uncultured bacterium. Its description in RNAcentral is "bacterial SSU rRNA". It matches the Rfam family "Bacterial small subunit ribosomal RNA", at positions 349 to 793 of the family's 1533-position model. The record is from RNAcentral.